Molecule: ribosomal RNA, 446 nt
Filed under: uncultured bacterium
Lineage: Bacteria
Description: partial 16S ribosomal RNA
Rfam family: Bacterial small subunit ribosomal RNA
Source: RNAcentral
CCUACGGGUGGCAGCAGUCGAGAAUCAUUCACAAUGGGGGAAACCCUGAUGGUGCGACGCCGCGUGGGGGAAUGAAGGUCUUCGGAUUGUAAACCCCUGUCAUGUGGGAGCAAAUUAAAAAGAUAGUACCACAAGAGGAAGAGACGGCUAACUCUGUGCCAGAAGCCGCGGUAAUACAGAGGUCUCAAGCGUGAUUCGGAAUCACUGGGCGUAAAGCGUGCGUAGGCUGUUUCGUAAGUCGGGUGUGAAAGGUCCGGGCUCAACCCGCGGACGGCACAUGAUACUGGGAGACUAGAGUAAUGGAGGGGGAAGCGGAAUUCUCGGUGUAGCAGUGAAAUGCGUAGAUAUCGAGAGGAACACUGGUGGCGAAGGCGGGUUCCUGGACAGUCACUGACGCUGAGGCACGAAGGCCAGGGGAGCGAACGGGAUUAGAUACCCCGGUAGUC